Non-coding RNA from Macaca mulatta (Rhesus monkey), 691 nucleotides. Lineage: Eukaryota; Metazoa; Chordata; Mammalia; Primates; Cercopithecidae. The record is from RefSeq and is a predicted model, not a curated record.
CAGGAAUUGCUCACUCGGGGAGCUCGGCUCUUGAGACAGGAGUCCUGUCGAUGUUCCCGGCCGGCUGAAUAAACCUCUUCCUUCUUUAACUCGGUGUCAAGGAGUUUUGUCUGCAGCUUGUCCUGCUACAUUUCUUGGUUCCCUGACCGGGAAGCGAGGUGAAUGGCGGAUGGUGGAGACAGCUCCUUAGGCGGCUUAAACCUGCCCUGUGGAACAUCCCUGUGGGGGAUUCCAACCAGCCAGAGCGAGGCGGAGCCUGAGAGUGCUCCCGGAUCCAGAGAGCACUCCCGGUUAGGCAUUUGCCCUGGUGGGACGCCUCACCAAAGCAGUGUGUGGCAGGUCCCCUGGAGGAUCAACGCAGUGGCUGAACACCGGUAAGGAACGGAUACUUGGAGUCCGGACAUCUGAAACUUGUGUUUGCUGACACAAGAGUCCAGGAAGUACAGGAGGAAAAAGAAGGAGGACAGCAAUCAGUCACAGCUCCUUCCAGCAUUCACAGAGUGACUACCACUAAUUACACCUCUCAGACCUGUGUUUGAGCAGACCUAUUUUCUCUAUGAAUUAAUGCCAAGUGACCUACUUUUCCACAUAUUAUUCAUUAUUUGUUCUGCUGUUUUAUCGAUUUUGAGACUGUUUUGCUACACAGGAAUAAAAAAAUCCAAUACAAUAAAACUCCUCUCAUUGAAAAUAA